ACGCUCGACACCUACGGGAGGCAGCAGUGGGGAAUAUUGCACAAUGGGGGAAACCCUGAUGCAGCGACGCCGCGUGAGCGAAGAAGUAUCUCGGUAUGUAAAGCUCUAUCAGCAGGGAAGAAGAUGACGGUACCUGACUAAGAAGCACCGGCUAAAUACGUGCGAGCAGCCGCGGUAAUCUGAGCGGGCUGGCAAGGC
RNAcentral lists this ribosomal RNA (198 nucleotides) under uncultured bacterium. Its description in RNAcentral is "partial 16S ribosomal RNA". It matches the Rfam family "Bacterial small subunit ribosomal RNA", at positions 328 to 539 of the family's 1533-position model. The record is from RNAcentral.